This 1095-nucleotide long non-coding RNA is filed under the name Numida meleagris (helmeted guineafowl). RNAcentral describes it as "lncRNA (ENSNMEG00000006904.1)". The record is from RNAcentral. Lineage: Eukaryota; Metazoa; Chordata; Aves; Galliformes; Numididae.
AUGCGCUCAGCCCAGAGGAAUGCAUCAAAUCACUGCCAGAUGCGCACGGCCCCCCGCCUGGCUGGGCCCCCCCAGCCACCCCCAACCCCACGGCACUGGGGGGCCACAGCCGGCCACGUGCCCCUAUGGGAUGUGCCUGUGGGGUGGGCGCCGGUGUCCCCCACGCGGGGUCACGCGGGGUCGUGCCUGUGCCCCCCGUCCCCAGUGCCCAUCACGGGCGCAGCGGAGCGGAAGCGGCUGUCAGAUGGAAUCUGGGUGCCGGCGGUGACAGCGCGGCGGGAGGGGACCGUGCCCGGCCACGUGGCCACUUAUGUAAGGAGAGUGCAAGGGAGGACAGCGAGGCGCUGGGGACACCGGCGAGGGGACACGGGGCCCCCGCCAUGCCCAUGGGCACAGACACAGAGCACUGAGCGCGAGGACACAGACGCACGGCGGAGGGGGCCGCGCUCCCCGCGCUGUCCCCAUCCCCAUGGCGCUGCAGGGACAGCCCUGGGACAAUGCCACUCAGCCCAGGUGCCCGCGGCCUUCUGCUCGCAUCCCCUGUGCCACCUUCUCGUGGUGCCAUGGGGGGGCCCACAGCAGCGUGGUGCCACCCGCAUCACAGCUGCGUCACUGCGGUCACCGCUUCCUUCCAGGCACUGCCACCGCCGGGGCUGCGUCACAAGGUGGGGGGGGCACACGGGGACACCCCCCAGCGGGUUUUGUCCCCCGUCACUGGGUGCCCACACCCAACCCCACAGCGUGGGGACAGGGGACAAGGGACACAAGGUCCUGGGACAGGGAGCAGAGAGGGGGUACCAAAAUCUGUCCCCCCGUCAUAGGGUUGUACACAGCACAAACACAGCUCAGCCCUACAGGAGGAGAGUGGGGGGGGGGGGGGGGAUGCGGAGGAUCCUGCAGCCCCCAACCCACCCUACAGGGGCCCCCUCCUCACCCCAACACCCCCAGCCCGGGGAGGGGGGAGUGGCAGAAUUGGGGGGCGGACAGUGUCUGGAUGGGGAGGGGCAAUGGCAGGGAUUGGGGCACCCAGAGAUUGCAGCCCCCCCCAGCACUGCAGCCCCACGCCCCCCCGCAGCUGGGAAGCUACAGAAUUAG